This 249-nucleotide long non-coding RNA is filed under the name Elaeis guineensis (African oil palm). RNAcentral describes it as "long non-coding RNA (EGUI_LNC030418)". Lineage: Eukaryota; Viridiplantae; Streptophyta; Magnoliopsida; Arecales; Arecaceae. The record is from RNAcentral.
AGGUGGUAGGAUGGAAUUGGUGAGAUUUAGGAGCAUUUGUGAAAUCAUAAGAGCAACAACAAUGUUCAUCUGUCUUGAGACAUAUUCCUUUGUGAAAUCCAAAAUUAGUGCAUUCCUCGUGGCACUUGGUUGAACAUAAUCUAAUGCAAACAAGAACUUCUCUUCCUGCAACAAACAAACAAACAAAUAAAUAAGCAUGCAUACUCAUAAAUAUAUAUAGAAUCCAAUCAUGAUUAAGGUGCAAGAAUA